UGUCCCUUAGUGUCACAUUCAACCGGGAU
Molecule: non-coding RNA, 29 nt
Filed under: Mus musculus (house mouse)
Lineage: Eukaryota; Metazoa; Chordata; Mammalia; Rodentia; Muridae
Source: RNAcentral